CUUGGUGUUGGAAGAUGGUCUGCUCUGAAGAAGAAAUGGUUUUCGACCUCAGUCCGAACUGCGGUGAAUCUUAAGGAUAAAUGGAGAAAUUUGCUGAGAUCAUACACGGGAAAUGCAGAAAGAGGAUGCUAUCUGCAACUAGAUCAUAGCUUGAUCCAACGGAUCCAGAAGGUAGCGGCCGAGAACCCAUAUCUAAGCUGAAGCUGCAGUGCUGCACCUUGGAAUGGUGCUAGAGCCAAUAUUUAGGA
Long non-coding RNA from Triticum dicoccoides, 248 nucleotides. RefSeq lists it as uncharacterized. Lineage: Eukaryota; Viridiplantae; Streptophyta; Magnoliopsida; Poales; Poaceae. The record is from RefSeq and is a predicted model, not a curated record. The transcript is spliced from 3 exons.